This 502-nucleotide long non-coding RNA is filed under the name Homo sapiens (human). RNAcentral describes it as "long intergenic non-protein coding RNA 2614". The record is from RNAcentral. Lineage: Eukaryota; Metazoa; Chordata; Mammalia; Primates; Hominidae.
UAUGAAUUGAGCAGAAGGAAACAAAGUUCUGCAGAUAAACACCAAUGAAACAAAAAACCACGAAUAAGAAAAAUGACAGAAAAGGAGAACCUUCCCAGAAUCCUCCUGCCAGUGAACGGUCACCAGAGCAAGAGCAUGGAGUCCCUGGGUUUUGAACUGUGAGAUAAGGAAGAUGAUGAAAACCUCCCUAGCAGCCAGCCAGGUACUAUUCUAGAUUGUCUUGUGAUAUUUACAAUCUAGGAGAAGGCAGGAGAGAGAACUAAGAACAGAGAGCAUGUUCUGAGAUGUCUGCUGUGUUUGCAGAAACUCCUGGAGGGCAGAGCCAUGCCUGCCAUUUUCAUCAUUGCAUUACCACCACCCAGCACAGUGCCUGGUACAAAAGAGUUGCUCAAUAAAUAAAUCAGGAUGAAUGGACAAAUACACGGAUAGGCACUUUGAACUACAGAUGAGCUUAAAUACUUUGUGUUUUUCUUAGUCAAACAUGUGCAAUUAAGCAUGUGAU